RNAcentral lists this non-coding RNA (29 nucleotides) under Mus musculus (house mouse). Lineage: Eukaryota; Metazoa; Chordata; Mammalia; Rodentia; Muridae. The record is from RNAcentral.
UACAUCUGUGGGCUCCACAAAGGGCAUGC